Molecule: ribosomal RNA, 317 nt
Filed under: uncultured eukaryote
Lineage: Eukaryota
Description: partial 18S ribosomal RNA
Rfam family: Eukaryotic small subunit ribosomal RNA
Source: RNAcentral
CCCUUAGAUGUUCUGGGCCGCACGCGCGCUACACUGAUCAGUGCAACAAGUAUCCGUCCUUGGCCGACAGGCCCGGGCAAUCUUUGAACGCUGAUCGUGAUGGGGAUAGACUUUUGCAAUUUUUGGUCUUCAACGAGGAAUUCCUAGUAAACGCAAGUCAUCAACUUGCAUUGAUUACGUCCCUGCCCUUUGUACACACCGCCCGUCGCACCUACCGAUUGAAUGGUCCGGUGAAGCCUCCGGAUUGGCGUGCACCCUCGGGUGCUGCCGAGAAGUUGGCUAAACCUUACCAUUUAGAGGAAGGUGAAGUCGUAACA